This 462-nucleotide ribosomal RNA is filed under the name uncultured bacterium. Its description in RNAcentral is "partial 16S ribosomal RNA". It matches the Rfam family "Bacterial small subunit ribosomal RNA", at positions 29 to 523 of the family's 1533-position model. The record is from RNAcentral.
AACGAACGCUGGCGGCACGCCUAACACAUGCAAGUCGAACGAAGCAUAAGAGCUUGCUCUUAUGACUGAGUGGCGCACGGGUGAGUAACACGUGGGAAUCUGCCUAUUGGUGGGGAAUAACUUUUGGAAACGAAAGCUAAUACCGCAUAAGCCCUAAGGGGGAAAGAUUUAUCGCCAAUAGAUGAGCCCGCGCUAGAUUAGCUAGUUGGUGAGGUAAGAGCUCACCAAGGCUACGAUCUAUAGCUGGUCUGAGAGUAUGGUCAGCCACGCUGGGACUGAGACACGGCCCAGACUCCUACGGGAGGCAGCAGUGUGGAAUAUUGGACAAUGGGGGAAGCCCUGAUCCAGCGAUGCCGCGUGAGUGAAGAAGGCCUUCGGGUUGUAAAGCUCUUUCAGAGGGGAUGAUAAUGACGGUACCCUCAGAAGAAGCACUGGCUAACUUCGUGCCAGCAGCCGCCGUAA